This 5511-nucleotide long non-coding RNA is filed under the name Glycine max (soybean). Its description in RNAcentral is "long non-coding RNA (GMAX_LNC002691)". Lineage: Eukaryota; Viridiplantae; Streptophyta; Magnoliopsida; Fabales; Fabaceae. The record is from RNAcentral.
ACAAUUACAAAUCAAAGGCCCAAAAGGAGGAUAAUCAAGCCUCAGUAUUUGAAGGAUUUUGCGUAACAAACAUGAGCUAGGAAUGCUGAGCUGGCAGAGUUUGAGUGGUUGGAAGAGCAGAUGCUGCCGGCCAUACUAUCCUUUUCUGCACCUUUCUGUUAUUUGCUAAAGAUCCUGUUACCAAUUGUUAGAAUUUGGUUAACAAUUUUUGUUUGCAUUAUCAAGCCUUAGUGCUAUAUAACAAUGAAUCAUGUAAUACGAAACUAUGAAGGAAUAAAACUAUCUUUUCUCAUCUUUAAUUCUGGAGGAGCCUAGUCCUCGAAUGCAAGGAGACCAGUGUCAGUAAUUAGAUUCAUAACACUUGGUGCUUUCAUUGAGAGCGUUGACAGACAAGUUCCUUUCUUACCUCACCCUCAUGGCUGAAUCCACUCACUCGAAAACGAACCUGGAACGGAUGGAGGAAGUAAUUGCCGAAUUGGCUUCCAAUCAGCUUCACAUCACUACCAAGCUCAAUGAGCUUAUCCAGCGCAUCACGGUUCUCGAGACCAACCAGCAACAAUCAGCCUCGCCUUCGUCUUCCUCCACCAACCCUUCCCACAUUGCUCCUUCUUCUCAGCUUCCUCGCAUGAAGCUAGAAGUGCCCCGUUUCGAUGGAACAGACCCCUCCGGGUGGAUAUUCAAGAUUAACCAGUUCUUCGCGUACCAUGUCACACCGGAACACGAACGUCUAACAAUCGCCUCCUUCUAUAUGGAGGGACCAGCUCUCGCAUGGUUCCAAUGGAAGACGAGAAACGGACAAUUGACUUCGUGGUCUGGAUUGCUUCAAGCUCUUGAAGCGCGCUUUGCUCCUUCCCAGUACGAGGAUCCUACUGGAAUCCUUUUCAAAUUGACACAAUGCGGCUCUGUCAUGGACUAUUUGUCGCAAUUUGAGACAUUGGUCAACCGCAUCGUCGGACUGCCGGCACCAUUUCUCUUGAGUUGCUUUGUCUCGGGUUUGAAGCCAGACAUUUGCCGCGAAGUACAGGCACUCCAACCCUUGACUCUGGUUCAAGUUGUUGCGCUGGCGCGACUCCAAGAGGAGAAAAUCACUGAACAUCACCGUGCUUUCCGUGGCCGUACCACUCUUGGGUUACCACCACCACUGGGGUCUACCUCUCCACCGCCAUCGACAAUUCCUUUGUUGUUACCACCCGCAAAACCUCCUCCUCUUCCUUUAAACGACUAUCGCUGGAAGAAAUGGCGAAUCGCCGCGAGAAGGGGCUCUGCUUCAACUGCGACGAGAAGUUCACUCGAGGGCACAGAUGCUCCUCAAAGUUCUUCCUCCUCAUCGCAAACGAAGAGGCCGCAGAGAAUGUCAACAACCCUACCCAAGAGCCACUUCCCCAUUCUGAAAAUAUAAGUGACCAGCCCCAGGCCCAAAUUAGUUUUUAUGCGCUUCCGGGCCACUUAGCCCCAAAGACUUUGCGCUUGGUGGGCCGAAUUGCCAAUCACACCGUGAUCAUCCUGAUCGAUAACUAUGUGCAGGAACAUCUCGUUCGAACCUUGGAUCUGAGUACCCAGCCCACACACCCCCUUAGAGUAGUGGUGGGCAAUGGGAAUGAAGUGGUGUGCCACCACCUAUGUGCCGUCACCACGUUUCAUGUCUAAGGCCAGACCUUCACUAUGGACCUCCAUGUCUUACCUCUCUACGGGACAGAUUUAGUUUUGGGAGUUCAAUGGUUAAAAUCCAUGGGCCCUAUCCUUACUGACUAUAAUGAACUCACCAUGAAAUUCAUACAUGACGGCAACAUUAUAGAACUAAAAGGGAAUACUAAUAGCGGCCUUCAUUCAAUCACACCCCCACAACUCCGCCGCAUGAUCAAAACUGACAAUGUCAGUGCUUAUUUCCAUAUCCGUAUAUUAUCCUCUGAGCCCCCUUCAAUCAAAACCAACACAAUACCUUACCCUAAGAUUGACUCCUUAAUCCACAAAUUCUCUUCCCUAUUCCAAACUCCAACGACCUUACCUCCCAGUCGAAACACCAACCAUGCAAUCCAUCUACUUCCUAAUUCUGAACCUGUAAACGUGCAGCCUUACCGUUAUCCAUACUUUCAAAAGCAAGAAAUCGAAAACCAAGUCAAGUCAAUGCUGAAGAGGGGAAUCAUUCAGCCUGGUACCAGCCCCUUCUCUUCACCCGUUCUGUUGGUCAAAAAGAGAGACGGAACUUGGCAAUUUUGUGUUGAUUACAGAGCAUUGAACGCCAUCACCAUCAAGGACCGAUUUCCAAUUCCCACGAUUGAUGAGCUUCUGGACAAACUAAGGGGCUCCUGCUACUUCUCGAAGUUGGAUCUCCUGCAAGGUUAUCACCAAAUACUGAUGCAAGACGAUGAUGUGUACAAAACUGCCUUCAGAACUCACCAUGGUCAUUGCAAGUUCUGUGUAAUGCCAUUCGGCUUGUGCAACGCACCAUCUUCAUUUCAGGCUAUGAUGAAUAGCAUCUUUGCACCAUACUUGCAUAAGUUUAUCAUCGUGUUCUUUGACGACAUCUUGAUUUGCAACAAGUCUUUUACAGAGCAUCUUGUGCAAUUGGAAAGUGCCUUUCAAGUGCUGGUCACAGGACAAUUCUACCUUAAGCUCUCUAAAUGUACUUUCGCCCAGAAACAAAUAGAAUAUUUGGGGCAUGUAGUUUCGCAACACGGUGUUGAACCAGUUCCCGCAAAGGUCGAAGCAAUUCAAAACUGGCCCACACCUCAUUCUACUAAGGCACCCAGAGGAUUUUUGGGCUUGUCGGGGUUUUAUCGAAGAUUUAUAAAGGACUAUGCUUCCAUGGCGGCUCCAUUAACUCAUCUUUUGGCCAAAGAUCAGUUCUAGUGGACACCAGAAUCUCAACAAGCCUUCGACACUUUAAAGAAUGCGAUUUGUCAGGCCCCCGUUCUCGGGCUACCGGAUUUUUCCUUGCCCUUCGUUGUCGAGAUAGAUGCUUCAGGGGUGGGCAUGGGCGUUGUUCUGUCCCAACGAAACCACCCCAUUGCUUUCUUCAACAAGCCAUUAUGCUCGAAGCUCCUUCACUCUUCUACCUAUGUCAGAGAACUCGUGGCUAUCACCUCUACAAUGAAGAAAUGGCGCCAGUAUCUACUGGGUCAUCACUUCACGAUCUUAACAGAUCACUGGAGUCUGAAAGAGUUGAUGUUGCAGGUGAUUUAGAUGCCUGAACAACAACUCUAUCUCGCUCGACUGAUGGGGUAUGACUACUCCAUUCAGUAUCACUCCGGGAAACACAACGUUGCUGCUGAUGCCCUCUCCCGGAUUCCAGCAACUCCUAUCGGAAAAUUGUUGAUGAUAAUUGUUCCUCAUCUCGUUUUUUUGCAGGAAUUGAAAACAGAGUUGCAACUUCAUCCUGAUUAUGUGGCUUUCCGACAAAGCAUAGAAGCUGACCCUCAGAAUUAUCCAAAUUGUGUCAUUCUGCAGGAUCUUAUUAUUUAGAAGGGCCACAUUUGGCUUCUGAAAGGGUUCUGUUUUAUUAAAACUCUCCUUGAGGAAUACCAUUCAACACUGACAGGAGGCCAUAUGGGGAUAGCUAAGACUCUUGCUCAAGUUGGUGAGAAUUUUACGUGGUCUGGGAUCAAGGAUGAUGUUCGACGCUUUAUCCUUGCUUGCGUUGACUGUCAACAGACAAAGUAUGAUCAUUAAAAGCAAGCAAGCCUACUCUGUCCUUUACCGGUACCUUCUCGUCCGUAGGAGGACCUUUCUUUGGAUUUCAUCGGCGGAUUGCCAGUUUUUCGGGGACACACUGUGAUCCUGGUCGUCAUAGACCGUUUUUCAAAGGGAAUUCACCUUGGUACCCUCCAAACCCAUUACAUAGCUUCAAUGGUGGCGCAGCUCUUCAUGCACAUUGUUGGCAAGAUCCAUGGAUAGACUGAGGUGUUAAAUCGCAUAAUAGAACAGUAUUUGGGAGCUUUUGUUCAUCCUCGACCUUCAACCUGGGGAAAAUUCUUACUAUGGGCAGAAUGGUCGUAUAAUACAUCCAUUCAUUCAGGCAUGGGGCUGUCACCUUACAAGAUCACCUUUGGGAAGAAACCUCCCAAUAUUCCGCAUUAUGUGACGGGAACAUCCAACCUUGAUGCCGAGGAUGACUUUCUUGCUGACCGCGAAGCUGUAUUCGCUGAUUUUAGGAAGAAACUUAUCAAAGCUCAUCAUACUAUGAAACAUUUUCCUAAUAACAAUAGACAUGAUGUUAGCUUCUGAGAAGGUGAUUGGGUAUUUGUUAAGCUUCGACCAUGCCAACAAACGACUGUUACAGGGACAACCCCAUGUUGCUUCUAUGGCCCAUUUUAAAUAGUGCAGAAGAUUGGCCCAAUUGCUUACCAACUGGAACUACCACCUGGGUCACGCAUUCACCCAGUGUUUCAUUGCUCUCUGCUUAAACCGUUUCAACCAUUAACUGAUCAGACUAAUCCUAUUGCUGAGCUACCAACCACAUCAGUCGAUAAUGACCCAAUUAUUUCUCCUCUGGUGAUUUUAGACACUAAAUGGGAUCAAUCUGAUAAUGGGCCUAAAUUGAUGGUUCUAGUCCAAUGGAAGGGCCUGUUCCCUGAAGACGCAUCGUGGGAACCUUGGGAGAGUCUCAAGGCUGACUUCCACCUUGAGGACAAGGUGUUCUUUGAUGGGCACGGGAAUGUUAUGAAUGAAACAGAACAGCAACAACAAACAAAUAAUAUUGAUAGGGCAAUACAACAAGCUGACACAGGGGAGACAAUUACAAAUCAAAGGCCCAAAAGGAGGAUAAUCAAGCCUCAGUAUUUGAAGGAUUUUGCGUAACAAACCUGAGCUAGGAAUGCUGAGCUGGCAGAGUUUGAGUGGUUGGAAGAGCAUAUGCUGUCGGCCAUACUAUCCUUUUCUGCACCUUUCUGUUAUUUGCUAAAGAUCCUGUUACCAAUUGUUAGAAUUUGGUUAACAGUUUUUGUUUGCAUUAUCAAGCCUUAGUGCUAUAUAACAAUGAAUCAUGUAAUUCGAAACUAUGAAGGAAUAAAACUAUCUUUUCUCAUCUUUAAUUCUGGAGGAGCCUAGUCCUCGAAUGCUAGGAGACCAGUGUCGGUAAUUAGAUUCAUAACAUGAAACUCUUGAUCUGCCUCACCUGUGAAACCAGCAGCAACAUCUCCAGAGGAGGUCACAAAUGAUGUCAAAUCCGAUGAGAUACAAUCUUUUAUAAAAACCUGCAUAAACAUUAUAAAUGGUAAGAACAAAAAUACAAGAACUACUUAUUACUGUAAGUAUAUGUAUUCACCAUGAUGUAACAGGCUGACAGUCAAGUAUAUGUCAGAAUUUCUCCUUGAUUAAUGGAGAAACACAUUUGAGCACAUUCAAAGAACCCUGUAAGGGUAACUAUUCCUAGGUCUAAAACAAUUUUUUUGCAAAAACCAAAGGUUGGUGAUUGUCCCCUAGAUGGAAUAAAGUUCUAGGAAGAUCAAGUUGUUGCUUGAUAUUUGUGAACCACUCAUUACCUUCUAUAAAUAGAAUAUUCUGAAGUUUGAG